RNAcentral lists this long non-coding RNA (568 nucleotides) under Citrus maxima (pomelo). RNAcentral's name for it is "long non-coding RNA (CMAX_LNC002640)". Lineage: Eukaryota; Viridiplantae; Streptophyta; Magnoliopsida; Sapindales; Rutaceae. The record is from RNAcentral.
GAUUACUUUGCGGCGGAGGCGCCCUUUGCGCUCGGCGGCGUCUUCAUGUGGGAGUGGGACCUUCACUUCCUGCCUCUCUCCGUACCACCCUCACCGUCCACUCUUCUCCCUCACCAUCUCUUCCUGUUAUGAACGGUAUAUUUAUAAUUCCAAACUUUUUUUUUCCUCUUCUUCCUUUUUUUUUUUUAAAAAAAAUUCCUAUAAUCAGGACUUCAAUUUUACGACAAUAUUUAAUGUUAGGUUUUAGGUUGCUUAUCUUAUCUGCACUUAAUGUGUAUUUAGUUGCAACGAGGCUGGUUGCUAGCUAUAUAGAUUUUCUGUUGCUUGCAAUGGUUUUGUCCUAUCAUUUAGUUUACUUCUUCUCACUUUCUGUAAGUGGGCUACUCUGACAUAACUUUGUAUCUGAAUUGGUUUCAUUGUAUAUACUCCAAUAAUUCAUUUGAUGAAUUUGAUUUACUUUUGAUACUCCCCUCUUUACCUGUUUGGUUAGUGUCUUGUUCAGCAACUAUGGCUAGUGAGGCGUCUGCCAAGGUUAUUGACGGAAAAGCAGUGGCAAAGCAAAUCAGAG